GAUGAACGCUAGCUACGGGCUUAACACAUGCAAGUCGAGGGGUAACGAGAGGGAAGCUUGCUUUCCUUGUCGACGACCGGCGCACGGGUGAGUAACGCGUAUCCAACCUGCCCCCAACUAGGGAAUAACCUUGCGAAAGUAAGACUAAUACCCUAUAAUUUCCUCAGAUGUCAUCUGACGAGGAAUAAAGAUAUAUCGGUUGUGGAUGGGGAUGCGUCUGAUUAGCUUGUUGGCGGGGUAACGGCCCACCAAGGCAACGAUCAGUAGGGGUUCUGAGAGGAAGGUCCCCCACAUUGGAACUGAGACACGGUCCAAACUCCUACGGGAGGCAGCAGUGAGGAAUAUUGGUCAAUGGGCGGAAGCCUGAACCAGCCAAGUAGCGUGCAGGAUGACGGCCCUAUGGGUUGUAAACUGCUUUUAUACAGGAAUAAAGUUAGCCACGUGUGGUUAUUUGUAGGUACUGUAUGAAUAAGGACCGGCUAAUUCCGUGCCAGCCGCCGCGGUAA
Molecule: ribosomal RNA, 506 nt
Filed under: uncultured bacterium
Lineage: Bacteria
Description: partial 16S ribosomal RNA
Rfam family: Bacterial small subunit ribosomal RNA
Source: RNAcentral